RNAcentral lists this ribosomal RNA (547 nucleotides) under uncultured Bacillota bacterium. Its description in RNAcentral is "bacterial SSU rRNA". It matches the Rfam family "Bacterial small subunit ribosomal RNA", at positions 28 to 530 of the family's 1533-position model. Lineage: Bacteria; Bacillati; Bacillota. The record is from RNAcentral.
GAUGAACGCUGGCGGCAUGCCUAAGACAUGCAAGUCGUACGAAGUAGCCCAUUGAAGUUUGAGUGCUUGCACAAAGAUGGAUUUGGAUUUCUACUUAGUGGCGGACGGGUGAGUAACACGUGGGUAAUCUACCUAUAAGAUUGGAAUAACACAGGGAAACUUGUGCUAAUACUGAAUAUCAAAUAGAAAUGAUUUUUCUAUUUCGAAAGGUGCCUUUAAAGCACCGCUUAUUGAUGAGCCUGCGUCGUAUUAGCUAGUUGGUGGGGUAAUGGCCUACCAAGGCAACGAUGCGUAGCCGAACUGAGAGGUUGAUCGGCCACACUGGGACUGAGACACGGCCCAGACUCCUACGGGAGACAGCAGUUAGGAAUAUUCGUCAAUGGGGGAAACCCUGAACGAGCAAUGCCGCGUGAGUGAUGAAGGUCCUUUGGAUCGUAAAGCUCUGUUACAUGGGAAGAACGACUAGACUAGGAAAUGAGUCUAGUGUGACGGUACCAUGUCAGAAAGCCCCGACUAACUACGUGCCAGCAGUCGCGGUAAUACGUAG